AUUGAACGCUGGCGGCAUGCUUUACACAUGCAAGUCGAACGGUAACAGGCCGCAAGGUGCUGACGAGUGGCGAACGGGUGAGUAAUGCAUCGGAACGUGCCCAGUCGUGGGGGAUAACGCAGCGAAAGCUGUGCUAAUACCGCAUAUUAUCUGAGGAUGAAAGCGGGGGACUAAGCAGCAAUGUUUGGCCUCGCGCCUUUGGAGCGGCCGAUGUCAGAUUAGGUAGUUGGUGGGGUAAAGGCCUACCAAGCCGACGAUCUGUAGCUGGUCUGAGAGGACGACCAGCCACACUGGGACUGAGACACGGCCCAGACUCCUACGGGAGGCAGCAGUGGGGAAUUUUGGACAAUGGGCGCAGGCCUGAUCCAGCAAUGCCGCGUGCAGGAAGAAGGCCUUCGGGUUGUAAACUGCUUUUGUACGGUAACGAAAAGGCUCUGGUUAAUACCUGGGCUCAUGACGGUACCGUAAGAAUAAGCACCGGCUAACUACGUCG
RNAcentral lists this ribosomal RNA (493 nucleotides) under uncultured bacterium. RNAcentral describes it as "bacterial SSU rRNA". It matches the Rfam family "Bacterial small subunit ribosomal RNA", at positions 30 to 508 of the family's 1533-position model. The record is from RNAcentral.